This 489-nucleotide ribosomal RNA is filed under the name uncultured bacterium. RNAcentral's name for it is "partial 16S ribosomal RNA". It matches the Rfam family "Bacterial small subunit ribosomal RNA", at positions 29 to 504 of the family's 1533-position model. The record is from RNAcentral.
AGUGAACGCUGGCGGUAGGCCUAACACAUGCAAGUCGAACGGCAGCACAGUAAGAGCUUGCUCUUACGGGUGGCGAGUGGCGGACGGGUGAGGAAUACAUCGGAAUCUACUUUUUCGUGGGGGAUAACGUAGGGAAACUUACGCUAAUACCGCAUACGACCUACGGGUGAAAGCAGGGGAUCUUCGGACCUUGCGCGAUUGAAUGAGCCGAUGUCGGAUUAGCUAGUUGGCGGGGUAAAGGCCCACCAAGGCGACGAUCCGUAGCUGGUCUGAGAGGAUGAUCAGCCACACUGGAACUGAGACACGGUCCAGACUCCUACGGGAGGCGGCAGUGGGGAAUAUUGGACAAUGGGCGCAAGCCUGAUCCAGCCAUACCGCGUGGGUGAAGAAGGCCUUCGGGUUGUAAAGCCCUUUUGUUGGGAAAGAAAAGCAGCAGGUUAAUACCCCGCUGUUCUGACGGUACCCAAAGAAUAAGCACCGGCUAACUUC